UGAUGUGUAGCUGGACUGAGAGGUUGAACAGCCACAUUGGGACUGAGACACGGCCCAAACUCCUACGGGAGGCAGCAGUAGGGAAUUUUCGGCAAUGGAGGAAACUCUGACCGAGCAACGCCGCGUGAACGAUGAAGUAUUUCGGUAUGUAAAGUUCUUUUAUUGAAGAAGAAAAAAUAGUGGAAAAACUAUAUUGACGUUAUUCAAUGAAUAAGCCCCGGCUAACUAUGUGCCAGCAGCCGCGGUAAGACAUAGGGGGCGAGCGUUAUCCGGAAUUAUUGGGCGUAAAGGGUGCGUAGGCUGUUAGAUAAGUCUAUAAUUUAAUUUCAGUGCUUAACGCUGUCUUGUUAUAGAAACUGUCUUGACUAGAGUGAGAUAGAGGCAAGCGGAAUUCCAUGUGUAGCGGUAAAAUGUGUAAAUAUAUGGAGGAACACCAGAAGCGUAGGCGGCUUGCUGGGUCUUUACUGACGCUGAGGCACGAAAGCGUGGGUAGCAAACAGGAUUAGAUACCCUGGUAGUCCACGCCGUAAACGAUGAGUACUAAGUGUCGGGGUAAAACUCGGUACUGAAGUUAACACAUUAAGUACUCCGCCUGAGUAGUACGUACGCAAGUAUGAAACUUAAAGGAAUUGACGGGACUCCGCACAAGCGGUGGAUCAUGUUGUUUAAUUCGAAGAUACACGAAAAAUCUUACCAGGUCUUGACAUACUCUGCAAAGCUAUAGAAAUAUAGUGGGAGGUUAUCAGGGAUACAGGUGGUGCAUGGUUGUCGUCAGUUCGUGUCGUGAGAUGUUAGGUUAAGUCCUAAAACGAGCGCAACCCUUGUCGUUAAUUGCCAGCACGUAAUGGGUGGGGACUUUAACGAGACUGCCAAUUAAACAUUGGAGGAAGGCGAGGAUUACGUCAAAUCAUCAUGCCCCUUAUGAUCUGGGCUACAAACGUGAUACAAUGGCUGUGACAAAGAGUAGCUGAAACGCGAGUUUUUAGCCAAUCUCAAAAAAGCAGUCUCAGUUCGGAUUGAAGUCUGUAAC
RNAcentral lists this ribosomal RNA (1030 nucleotides) under Candidatus Phytoplasma trifolii. RNAcentral's name for it is "bacterial SSU rRNA". It matches the Rfam family "Bacterial small subunit ribosomal RNA", at positions 277 to 1311 of the family's 1533-position model. Lineage: Bacteria; Bacillati; Mycoplasmatota; Mollicutes; Acholeplasmatales; Acholeplasmataceae. The record is from RNAcentral.